UACAGAGGUCUCAAGCGUUGUUCGGAUUCAUUGGGCGUAAAUGGUGUGUAGGCGGCGCGGUAAGUCGGGUGUGAAAUCUCGGAGCUUAACUCCGAAACUGCAUUCGAUACUGCCGUGCUUGAGGACUGGAGAGGAGACUGGAAUUUACGGUGUAGCGGUGAAAUGCGUAGAUAUCGUAAGGAAGACCAGUGGCGAAGGCGGGUCUCUGGACAGUUCCUGACGCUGAGGCACGAAGGCCAGGGGAGCAAACGGG
RNAcentral lists this ribosomal RNA (253 nucleotides) under uncultured bacterium. RNAcentral describes it as "partial 16S ribosomal RNA". It matches the Rfam family "Bacterial small subunit ribosomal RNA", at positions 524 to 776 of the family's 1533-position model. The record is from RNAcentral.